Molecule: non-coding RNA, 168 nt
Organism: Pelobates cultripes (western spadefoot toad)
Lineage: Eukaryota; Metazoa; Chordata; Amphibia; Anura; Pelobatidae
Source: the annotation of a GenBank genome assembly
GAAGACACAUUCCAGCCAAUCAGCAGCAGACCCUCCCUCCCAGACCCUCCCACCUCCUGGACAGCUCACUAAGAAUGCAGCUUCACAAUGAAUGUAAAAUGGAUGCUGUCCAGGAGGUGGGAGGGUGUGGGAGGGAGGGUCUGCUGCUGAUUGGCUGGAAUGUGUCUG